AUUAGGGUGGCAGAAAUAUGCAUCAAAUUUAAGCUUUGAAGAUGGGAGUAAGUGCCCCUCUAAUA
RNAcentral lists this transfer RNA (65 nucleotides) under Ruditapes variegatus. Its description in RNAcentral is "tRNA-Leu". Lineage: Eukaryota; Metazoa; Mollusca; Bivalvia; Venerida; Veneridae. RNAcentral also lists the same sequence under 1 other name. The record is from RNAcentral.